This is a long non-coding RNA of Oxyura jamaicensis (ruddy duck), 5170 nucleotides long. RefSeq lists it as uncharacterized. The record is from RefSeq and is a predicted model, not a curated record. The transcript has 7 exons. Lineage: Eukaryota; Metazoa; Chordata; Aves; Anseriformes; Anatidae.
UUGUUGCAUCUUGUCUACAGAUGCUUCCCCUGUGCAAAAAUCCCCUCAACCUGUACUGUCUUCUUGAUACAAUCUCAGCUCUCUCUGAUUUCCAUAUUAACCCCUCUUCUUCUAGUACAUGACUCUUCAAAGAAAUUGCCUAAGGAAAGGAAAAGAGACAUCAAAAUACGAUGAUCAGCAAGUUAAUCACAAUAUUAGGUACCAUCACCUUUUCCUUCACGUCAUUGCUGUCAAUGACGUGUUAGCCAUUACCAUAUUGAUCUGCAAGUUGUUGAGAUCUAAUUGUGCCAAUUCAGAAAGCCUAGGCUAAAGAGUAUGUUGUCAUAAGAUAACAUAAAUAUUUUAUUUCUACCUUUUAUACUUUCAGGUUGCAUAAUAGCACAGUCUCUGCCCAGUCUCUGCUCCUUAUGGCCUGUAACUUUGUUGUGCUGCUACCAAGCAAGAACAUUCAUAUGCAAGUCAUACUGCAGUCACACAAUAGCAAAGCAGCUUUCAAAAUUACAUAAUUUCUGUCAGUUUAUACUAUAAAAUUUUCCAGUUGGAUUUCAAUUCAUCAUUCCUUGUGAACCCUAACCUCUUGCAAAGUCUGGAAUAGCAUUUCAGCUUGCUUUGCUCCAUAUCUUUUCACUUCACUGCCACCAGGUCCUAUAUCAAUUGAGAUACAUUGAUGCUGUCACAUUUCCAGUCAUUCCUACUCAAUAUAGUCUUUUAUGUUUAUUUUUCAAACAGCAUGGAGUGAUUUGGGAACCUAUUUGAUAAGCUGGCACAUAACCGACUGGUUUUAAAAGUCAGAGGACUUCAGCUGGCUCUGUUAUUUUAGGCUAAAUUUACAGGCAAACCCUAGAAACUAGCUGCUGAACAAGCUGCCUCACUGAUCCCUUCACUUUUCUCUAGUGUGUACUUCUCAAGACGUGAAAGAGCCAUUGAAGCCACCUCCACUGCGGUGUGAUAAUGCAAUCACAGUAUUAUCAUAGCAUAUUUACAGUGCUUUUGGAGUGCAUGCAGUCAAUUGCCAUGGUUUAGCUGAGGCACAGCUCCCCUCUCAGCCAAGGUGACACAGACACCUGUGACUGUGUUGAAGUUAGAAACAAAUUCUGCUGAAAUUCUUGUAAAUCAGUAGUCUUCUUAGAAAGACACAGCAGAAGCUACCACACAGUGAGAUCUGAAGUACUCAGCCUAAUCACUAGAGAACACUUUUUGUUUAGCUUAAAAUAAAUAUUCCAUAGUCAAAGCAAAAGACCUGUUUACAAUGAAUGACCCCCAUCGACAGCAACGAAAAGAGGCCUUUACAUGGCAAUAUUGACACAAUACUACUGUUCUUCCAUGUAUAUCAUCAAAAGACUGGUCUCUCAGCAGAAGAAGCAGCUCCAGAAAUCCUAGGUUUAUCUUUGGAGAGACAGAGAGACAGAGAGAGACACACAGAAAGAGUUCAUGAGACAAGAUUGCUAACAACUUUAUUCUUUUGUUUUGCGCUGCUUUAGUUUCUGACAUUCCUAGAGACUAACCAGCUGACAGCAUAGUCCUAACUUUAGAGCAAAAUCAGUUAUUUCUUCCUUCCAAGUGUAUUUUAUGUCUAAGUCAUAUUGAGAAUUAUAUUGUUUAAAUAUCUUCACAACUGUUAUAAACUCACAUAAAUAUUUAGUUUAAACAAGCAUCGUCAAAGUGUCUCCUUACAAUCAGUAACAGACCCUUCCCAGACAAAUACAGCUGCAUGUUUUGAAAUCCAGCAUGAUGAACUGUGGAAAAAAAUAAAUAAACAAAAAUUGUGAACUGCACAUUCUUACAAAACUACAUUUUUAAGGCAGUAUCUUUGUCCUCUGAAACAUGAGCUGUUUAUACUACAAUGACUGGUAAAAUAUGCAGUCCUUGGUGGAUGGCUGAAUGUUGAAUGAUGAUCAUUACACAAAGAGAUUUUAAUUCUCAGCCUGUUGAGAGGGUGAAGGAUGGCAGAAGUGCUUCAGCAUGCAGGUAGCAUCUCACUGAGCAACACCUGAGGCAACACUGAAACAGUUCUAUCAAUCACCAAUGAAUUUUAGAAAGUUACAUGAUCAUACCUGCACUGUUUAAAGUUCUCUUGCGUGAUCUGGAACAAGAAAACAUCACAAGUAUCAUCAUAGUAUAACAAAUACCAAAAUAAAUGUGAAUACUAAAAGUCAUGAAUUUUGUAUGUCUAUGCCAGUGGCUGCUGACUAGAUCAAUUUAUUUCUGUGGGGUAUAUUUUAUUUACUGCCAUAGAUGAUCACCUUUAGAUUUAUCACACAGUCCUUCAUGAGAUCUAAAACUUCUGCAUUUGCUGCAAUUUUCUUGAUAUGUAUUCCUAUCUGCAAGCAACAAGGGGUAGUGCAAAUUUAUUAUUUUCAUGCAGAAACAAGCAGAACAGGAACUAAAGAGUGGUCAGAAGUGAUACUCAAACUGUGCACAUAUUGCACUCGUGACCAAUCAUGGAGCACUUUGUGUGCAGGAGGAGAUCUGCUGCUUCCUCACCUUGUGCUUUCCAGAAGCAUUGGUCCCCAACAGCAGAGCCAUAUGCAUCUACACAUUAUAUCUCAGUGUUAAGCCAGUUCUCCAGCUAUUUUGUGCCCAAAGAAAGAGGGGUGGCCAGUGACACCGUAGCUACAUAAAAGCUCAGAGUAAAUAACUGCCUUUAUUUUCUUUGUCUAUCAAGAUGCUACUAGGCUCCCUACCAGAGAAUUCAGUGGAUCAUGGCUAGAGUACUGAACAAACCAUCUGAAACUAGCAAAUGGAAACUGUAAAUAUCUACAGUCAUGGCAACUGCAGUCAGUUCUUUUAACAAAAAACAAGUUCCAUCCCUUUCACAGCUACAGACUAUGUUUACAAAGAAAGUAAGCAUUGACUAACUUCAUUAAAAGAAUGGAAACAGAGUGAACGAACACUACACAAUUCCAUGAGCUCUCCAGAGAGCAUCCCACAGAACGUUCUGCAGAAGGCUGACUGGUGGCCCACAGAGCACAGUCAAGGAGCUGCUGAAGGAGAGGUGUCAUUGCAAUAAGCCUCGUUUGCUUGCAACUCUUUCUUUUUUCUUUUUAAGGGAAAUAAAAAAAAAAAAGGAAAACCUAUUUGUCCAAGAGUUAUUUUAACUACUGCAAUGAUCCGUAAUCAAGCAACAAAGCAUCUACAGAUCUAAAGAUGAGCAACACAGAGAAAUCUGAUGUUUUAUGAGACUUUGCUUUGCUUUCACAUAUACAACAUUUAGUAAGCACGUCCCCCUUAAUAUACUGUUCCUUCAAUACAAGACUUUAAUUUAUCUGCAAUCUCAGAUAAUUGUUUAUGAUUGCAAGCAUUUUUAGUCAUGUAUAUAAAGCCCCAGUGCAGGAUCAAGUUGUGAAAAUUUAAGACAUUUCACAAACCAAAUCUCGGUGAAGGAAAUGCACAGAUCACAGUGGACAUUGAAUCGGAGACACAGUGAAUGUCCUGGUGCACAACAAGGACACUGAACUCCAUUAAAGAAUUAACUAUACAGGGCAUUAUAUAUACAUAAGUAUGGCUGGUGACCAGUCACUAGCAGUGUUCUUCAGGGAUCAGUUCUAGGACCAGUUCUGUUCAACAUUUUUAACAAUGAUCUGGAUGCAGGAGUCGAAUGCAAGUUCAUUGAUGACACUAAAAUGGGAGGUGUUGUUGACUCCCUGGAGGGUCAAGAGGCCUGAAGAGGUGUCAAGAUAGAUUGGAGCAUUGGACAAUCAGAAACGGCAUGAAAUUCAACAAAAGAAAAUGCCUGGUUCUGCACCUGGGAUGGAGUGAAGCCAGACACAGGUACAGACUGGGAAAUGAGUGGCUGGAGAGCAGCUCUGAAGAAAAGGGGGUGCUGGUUGGCAUUGGGCUCAGCAUGAGUCAGUGGUGUGCUCUGGCAGCCAAGAGGGCAAAACACAUUUCGGGGUGCAUUAAACACAGUGUAUCCAGACCAUCAAAAGAGGUGAUUCUCCUGCUUUGGCCUCACUUUGACUAUUGUGUAAAGGUCUUGGCUACACAAUAAUAAAGGACAUUAAGGUACUUGAAAGCAUCCAGAGCAGGGCAACAAAACUGAUAAAAGGGCUGAAAGACAUGUCCUAUGAAGAGAGGCUGAGGACACCUGGGUCACUUGGUCUGGAGAAAAGGAGGCCCGAGGCAACCUCAUUGCUCCCUACAGCUUCCUGAGGAGGGGAAGCACAGAGGGAGGUGCCAGUCUUCUCCCAAGGAACCGGUGGCAAGAUGCAUGGGAACAGCACAAAGGUGAACCCAGGGAGGUUCAUACUGGGCAUGAGGAAAACCUUUACUGUGAGGGUGGUCAAACACUGGAACAGGUUUCCUAGAGGGGUGGUUGAUGCCCCAAGCCUGCCAGUGUUCAAGAGGCAUUUGGACAAUGCCCUCAGUAAUAUGUUUUAACUUUUGGGUAGCCUUGAAGUGAUCAGGCAGUCAGAUUCAAUGGUCUUUAUAGGUCCCUUAGAACUGACAUAUUCAAUUCAAUUCAGUUCAAUUCAAAUCAAUUCAAUUCAAUUUGAUUUGAUUCUGUAUAUAUGUGUGACUUUAAGACUGCCAAAACAUAGCAUAAUUGUUAUAACUUUAUCAUAAUUAUUUUUAGCAACAUAAGUUGCUAAAUAUGGCAUGAAAUUAAAUUAGUCUGGCUAUUCAGGCAAAUGUAAUGAAACCAUCUACCUUUGGGAAGAACUAAUUUCUAAAUUAAAAAAGAGAGGGAGAGAGAACAAGACAAAUGUUUAAAAUCAACAACACUGAAAUAUUUGCUUUUAACCACAGAAUGAUUUACCUUCUUUCACUCAAAGUUGUUUUCCCGGAUGUGUACUUAACCACAUUUAUGUCAUAUUUAUUUUAAUAGAAGAAAGAUUAAUUUUUUAGACAUUAGUACAAGUGUAAACAGUUUAGACAUAAAAGACUUUCCCAAGACUUCUGAUUAAAAAAGACAGAAGCUUACAACUACAGGACCUAUAUACAUUAUAUACGCAAAAAUGCUCUGAGUGAUGUCCCUAAAGUAGGGAUUGCAAUGUCUAAACUGAAUAAGCUUUUAAUAUAUCAAGUACAUAAAUGUGUGUUGAAUCAAUGAGCAUAUGAGAUCCAACAAGAUCUGAAAGCUGAUGUAAGAAACAUUCAGUUUUUUUAAAAAAAGAUAUUCUUAAUAGUCAAAGAAAUUAUCAAUAAAACAAAAUAAUUAUGCAUUUGA